Molecule: long non-coding RNA, 358 nt
Organism: Dalotia coriaria
Lineage: Eukaryota; Metazoa; Arthropoda; Insecta; Coleoptera; Staphylinidae
Exons: 2
Source: RefSeq, a predicted model, not a curated record
UCGCUCGAUUUAUGAUGAAAAAUUAUAAAGCAAUCAAUUCCUGAACAAUAUUCAGCUAUUACGAAAACAAAACUGUCAAAAUGAAGAAAGUCUGUGUUGCACUGUGCGUCAUCUUGGUUUGCAUGGUUGUCGUGGACAUGGUAAAUGCUCAAGGCAAGCAAACAAAAGAUGCGGCCAACGCAGCAGCAAAAGCCGGAAAGGAAGCUGCUGGUCAAGCCAGGGACGCUGCAGGUCAAGCUGCGGACAUGGCAGGCCAAGCAAAAGACGCUGCAAAAGGGAAAGCAGGUCGCUAAACCAUCUGAACAUAUUAUGGCUAAGAUUUAAUGACAAUAUCAAAAUAAAACUUCUGCAUUGAAAA